GUGUUUGCUUCAGCAGCACAUAUAGUAAAAUUGGAAUGAUGCAGAGAAGAUUAGCAUGGCCCUUGCCCAAGGAUGACACGCAAAUUCAUGAAGCGUUCCAUGUUUUU
Molecule: small nuclear RNA, 107 nt
Organism: Cavia porcellus (domestic guinea pig)
Lineage: Eukaryota; Metazoa; Chordata; Mammalia; Rodentia; Caviidae
Source: Ensembl